RNAcentral lists this ribosomal RNA (186 nucleotides) under Faecalibacterium prausnitzii. RNAcentral's name for it is "partial 16S ribosomal RNA". It matches the Rfam family "Bacterial small subunit ribosomal RNA", at positions 1 to 183 of the family's 1533-position model. Lineage: Bacteria; Bacillati; Bacillota; Clostridia; Eubacteriales; Oscillospiraceae. The record is from RNAcentral.
UUUAUAAAGAGUUUGAUCCUGGCUCAGGACGAACGCUGGCGGCGCGCCUAACACAUGCAAGUCGAACGAGCGAGAGAGAGCUUGCUUUCUUGAGCGAGUGGCGAACGGGUGAGUAACGCGUGAGGAACCUGCCUCAAAGAGGGGGACAACAGUUGGAAACGACUGCUAAUACCGCAUAAGCCCACG